Molecule: ribosomal RNA, 253 nt
Filed under: uncultured prokaryote
Description: partial 16S ribosomal RNA
Rfam family: Bacterial small subunit ribosomal RNA
Source: RNAcentral
UACGUAGGGGGCAAGCGUUGUCCGGAUUUAUCGGGCGUAAAGAGCGUGUAGGCGGCUAGGUAGGUCCGUUGUGAAAACUCGAGGCUCAACCUCGAGACGUCGAUGGAAACCAUCUAGCUAGAGUCCGGAAGAGGAGAGUGGAAUUCCUGGUGUAGCAGUGAAAUGCGUAGAUAUCGUGAGGAAGACCAGUGGCGAAGGCGGGUCUCUGGACAGUUCCUGACACUGAGGCACGAAGGCCAGGGGAGCAAACGGG